RNAcentral lists this long non-coding RNA (446 nucleotides) under Malus domestica (apple). RNAcentral describes it as "long non-coding RNA (MDOM_LNC020335)". The record is from RNAcentral. Lineage: Eukaryota; Viridiplantae; Streptophyta; Magnoliopsida; Rosales; Rosaceae.
UGAAAAGGUAUGUACGACAAUAAUGGGUGUAAUAUAAUCAUGCUCAAUACUACUCUCACAUAAUAGCUAGGCGAUAAAUCGCUAGUCACCUACAAGUCGGAACCAUAAUAAAGGUCUGUAUGAUAAGACUGUGCACCUAAAUUGGAUCCAAUAUAAGCAUAUGGUGCAGGAGGUGACAUUAUAAACAGGCAUGUGCCAUAACUCUGGCUAAAUCACAAUCACCCUAAGUGCAGUUUUAUGAGCUCAACGUUAUUCAAUCACAUAUCACAUCAUCGAUAAUUCUCACAGCACCACAAUUAUAUAUAAUGCAUCAUAUACCAAAUCAUAUACGAAAUAUAAAUUCAUAUGCAUGGCAUUUAAGGCAUACUUUCAUUUAAACGCAUAUUUCUGGGAAAAUAUCAAGUAUAUAAAUAUAUACUGAAAACCAAAAGCCCACUCACUAGUAU